UGGGGAAUAUUGCACAAUGGGGGAAACCCGUGAUGCAGCGACGCCGCGUGAAGGAAGAAGUAUCUCGGUAUGUAAACUUCUAUCAGCAGGGAAGAAAAUGACGGUACCUGACUAAGAAGCCCCGGCUAACUACGUGCCAGCAGCCGCGGUAAUACGUAGGGGGCAAGCGUUAUCCGGAUUUACUGGGUGUAAAGGGAGCGUAGACGGAAGAGCAAGUCUGAUGUGAAAGGCUGGGGCUUAACCCCAGGACUGCAUUGGAAACUGUUUUCCUAGAGUGCCGGAGAGGUAAGCGGAAUUCCUAGUGUAGCGGUGAAAUGCGUAGAUAUUAGGAGGAACACCAGUGGCGAAGGCGGCUUACUGGACGGUAACUGACGUUGAGGCUCGAAAGCGUGGGGAG
RNAcentral lists this ribosomal RNA (397 nucleotides) under uncultured Blautia sp. Its description in RNAcentral is "bacterial SSU rRNA". It matches the Rfam family "Bacterial small subunit ribosomal RNA", at positions 355 to 768 of the family's 1533-position model. Lineage: Bacteria; Bacillati; Bacillota; Clostridia; Lachnospirales; Lachnospiraceae. The record is from RNAcentral.